GGACGUGACGCGGACCGAAAUAAAGUAGGGAAGCAUGUGAGCCAUGUGCCAAGAAAAGCCGCUAUAGAUCAUACCGUACCCGUACCGUAAACCGACACAGGUAGAUGAGGAGAGAAUCCUAAGGCCGACGGGAGAAGCAUUGUUAAGGAACUCGGCAAAAUGACCCCGUAACUUCGGGAGAAGGGGUGCCCACGCGAGUGGGCCGCAGAGAAUAGGCUCAAGCAACUGUUUAGCAAAAACACAGGUCUAUGCGAAACCGAAAGGUGAGGUAUAUGGGCUGACGCCUGCCCGGUGCUGGAAGGUUAAGAGGAGGAGUCAGGCAACGAAGCUCCGAAUUUAAGCCCCAGUAAACGGCGGCCGUAACUAUAACGGUCCUAAGGUAGCGAAGUUCCUUGUCGGGUAAGUUCCGACCCGCACGAAAGGCGUAAUGAUUUGAGCACUGUCUCGACAAUGCACCCGGUGAAAUUGAAGUACCAGUGAAGAUGCUGGUUACCUGCGCCAGGACGGAAAGACCCCAUGGAGCUUUACUCCAGUUUGAUACUGGGAUUCGAUACUGAAUGUACAGGAUAGGUGGGAGGCUGAGAAGCGUGGACGCCAGUCUGCGGUGAGCCGCUGUUGGGAUACCACCCUUUGAGUAUUGGAUUUCUAACCUGCGCCCGUGACCCGGGCGGGGGACAAUGUCUGACGGGGAGUUUGACUGGGGCGGUCGCCUCCGAAAGGGUAUCGGAGGCGCUCAAAGGUUCCCUCAGAAUGGUUGGAAACCAUUCGCAGAGUGCAAAGGCAGAAGGGAGCUUGACUGUGACACCGACGGGUGGAGCAGGUACGAAAGUAGGACUUAGUGAUCCGGUGGUAUGAAAGUGGGAUUGCCAUCGCUCAACGGAUAAAAGCUACCCUGGGAUAACAGGCUUAUCACUCCCAAGAGUUCACAUCGACGGAGUGGUUUGGCACCUCGAUGUCGGCUCAUCGCAUCCUGGGGCUGUAGCAGGUCCCAAGGGUUGGGCUGUUCGCCCAUUAAAGCGGUACGCGAGCUGGGUUCAGAACGUCGUGAGACAGUUCGGUCCCUAUCCGGCGCAGGCGUAGGAUAUUUGAGAGGAGCUGUCCUUAGUACGAGAGGACCGGGAUGGACAGACCGCUGGUGUAUCUGUUGGUGACCAACACCAUGGCAGAGUAGCCAAGUCUGGCAGGGAUAAACGCUGAAGGCAUCUAAGCGUGAAGCCCCCCUCAAGAUGAGAUAUCCCAAUAAGUAAGACCCCUUAGAGAGUAUGAGGUAGAUAGGCUUAAGGUGUAAGCAUAGUAAUAUGUUCAGCUGAUAAGUACUGAUAGGUCGAGGGCUUACC
RNAcentral lists this ribosomal RNA (1337 nucleotides) under metagenome. Its description in RNAcentral is "bacterial LSU rRNA". It matches the Rfam family "Bacterial large subunit ribosomal RNA", at positions 1559 to 2925 of the family's 2925-position model. The record is from RNAcentral.